AUGGAGAUGAUGACACCAGAGUCCUUGACUGCUAGUGAUGUGCGAUGUAUUCAUACUGUCUGAUCCAU
Silurus meridionalis is the source of this 68-nucleotide small nucleolar RNA. The record is from RefSeq and is a predicted model, not a curated record. Lineage: Eukaryota; Metazoa; Chordata; Actinopteri; Siluriformes; Siluridae.